UUGUAAAGAGUUCUUAAAAAUUUACAUUAACCUUUGGAACACCGAAAUUGGCUAAGGUAAGUCACUGAAUAGAAAGUAUUACUCUAUUCAUUUACUCCUAGCCUACAGGU
Molecule: small nucleolar RNA, 110 nt
Organism: Nannospalax galili (Upper Galilee mountains blind mole rat)
Lineage: Eukaryota; Metazoa; Chordata; Mammalia; Rodentia; Spalacidae
Source: Ensembl